ACACCGGCCCUUUUCAGGGCCACCCAAAUCUUUCGAAAGAAUUGUAU
Non-coding RNA from Branchiostoma floridae (Florida lancelet), 47 nucleotides. The record is from Rfam. Lineage: Eukaryota; Metazoa; Chordata; Leptocardii; Amphioxiformes; Branchiostomatidae.